RNAcentral lists this ribosomal RNA (666 nucleotides) under uncultured bacterium. RNAcentral describes it as "bacterial SSU rRNA". It matches the Rfam family "Bacterial small subunit ribosomal RNA", at positions 63 to 672 of the family's 1533-position model. The record is from RNAcentral.
CGAGCGGUAAGGUUCUGCACUUAGUAUUUGACCAGACAAGUCCAUGUAAAUGGAAACUGUAUGAAGCAAGGCAUCUCCAAGGCUGGAGGUUCCGAGUCGAAUGUUAAGUGUAGAAUACACGAGCGGCGGACGGGUGAGUAACGCGUAAGAAUGUACCCCAAAGUGAGGGAUAAUUCCGGGAAACCGGGACUAAUACCGCAUGUGCUCUUCGGAGUAAAGCUUUAUGCGCUUUGGGAACAGCUUGCGUCUGAUUAGCUAGUUGGUAAGGUAACGGCUUACCAAGGCGACGAUCAGUAGCUGGUCUGAGAGGAUGACCAGCCACACUGGGACUGAGACACGGCCCAGACUCCUACGGGAGGCAGCAGUAGGGAAUUUUCCACAAUGGGCGAGAGCCUGAUGGAGCAACGCCGCGUGCAGGAUGAAGGCCUUAGGGUCGUAAACUGCUUUUGUCUGUGACGAAUAUGACGGUAACAGACGAAUAAGGGUCGGCUAACUACGUGCCAGCAGCCGCGGUCAUACGUAGGACCCAAGCGUUAUCCGGAUUUACUGGGCGUAAAGAGUUGCGUAGGUGGUCUGUUAAGUAAAUAGUGAAAUCGUGUGGCUCAACCAUGCAUCCAUUAUUUAAACUGGCAGACUUGAGAGCGAGAGAGGUAGAUGGAAUUGCUA